This 418-nucleotide ribosomal RNA is filed under the name uncultured bacterium. Its description in RNAcentral is "bacterial SSU rRNA". It matches the Rfam family "Bacterial small subunit ribosomal RNA", at positions 28 to 444 of the family's 1533-position model. The record is from RNAcentral.
GAUGAACGCUAGCGGCAGGCCUAACACAUGCAAGUCGAAGGGUAGGGUUAGCUUGCUAACUUGAGACCGGCGCACGGGUGCGUAACGCGUAUGCAAUCUACCUUGUACAGAGGGAUAGCCCAGAGAAAUUUGGAUUAAUACCUCAUAGUAUCUUUACCUGGCAUCGGGUAAUUAUUAAAGUUCCAACGGUACAAGAUGAGCAUGCGUCCCAUUAGUUAGUUGGUAAGGUAACGGCUUACCAAGACAAUGAUGGGUAGGGGUCCUGAGAGGGAGAUCCCCCACACUGGUACUGAGACACGGACCAGACUCCUACGGGAGGCAGCAGUGAGGAAUAUUGGUCAAUGGACGCAAGUCUGAACCAGCCAUGCCGCGUGCAGGAAGACGGUCCUAGUGGAUUAGUAAACUGUCUUUUAANACG